CGUUGGGGGGGUGCUAAUACAUGCAGUAGAACGCUGAAGAGAGGAGCUUGCUCUUCUUGGAUGAGUUGCGAACGGGUGAGUAACGCGUAGGUAACCUGCCUUGUAGCGGGGGAUAACUAUUGGAAACGAUAGCUAAUACCGCAUAACAAUGGAUGACCCAUGUCAUUUAUUUGAAAGGGGCAAAUGCUCCACUACAAGAUGGACCUGCGUUGUAUUAGCUAGUAGGUGAGGUAACGGCUCACCUAGGCGACGAUACAUAGCCGACCUGAGAGGGUGAUCGGCCACACUGGGACUGAGACACGGCCCAGACUCCUACGGGAGGCAGCAGUAGGGAAUCUUCGGCAAUGGGGGCAACCCUGACCGAGCAACGCCGCGUGAGUGAAGAAGGUUUUCGGAUCGUAAAGCUCUGUUGUAAGUCAAGAACGAGUGUGAGAGUGGAAAGUUCACACUGUGACGGUAGCUUACCAGAAAGGGACGGCUAACUACGUGCCAGCAGCCGCGGUAAUACGUAGGUCCCGAGCGUUGUCCGGAUUUAUUGGGCGUAAAGCGAGCGCAGGCGGUUUGAUAAGUCUGAAGUUAAAGGCUGUGGCUCAACCAUAGUUCGCUUUGGAAACUGUCAAACUUGAGUGCAGAAGGGGAGAGUGGAAUUCCAUGUGUAGCGGUGAAAUGCGUAGAUAUAUGGAGGAACACCGGUGGCGAAAGCGGCUCUCUGGUCUGUAACUGACGCUGAGGCUCGAAAGCGUGGGGAGCGAACAGGAUUAGAUACCCUGGUAGUCCACGCCGUAAACGAUGAGUGCUAGGUGUUGGAUCCUUUCCGGGAUUCAGUGCCGCAGCUAACGCAUUAAGCACUCCGCCUGGGGAGUACGACCGCAAGGUUGAAACUCAAAGGAAUUGACGGGGGCCCGCACAAGCGGUGGAGCAUGUGGUUUAAUUCGAAGCAACGCGAAGAACCUUACCAGGUCUUGACAUCCCGAUGCUAUUUCUAGAGAUAGAAAGUUACUUCGGUACAUCGGUGACAGGUGGUGCAUGGUUGUCGUCAGCUCGUGUCGUGAGAUGUUGGGUUAAGUCCCGCAACGAGCGCAACCCCUAUUGUUAGUUGCCAUCAUUCAGUUGGGCACUCUAGCGAGACUGCCGGUAAUAAACCGGAGGAAGGUGGGGAUGACGUCAAAUCAUCAUGCCCCUUAUGACCUGGGCUACACACGUGCUACAAUGGUUGGUACAACGAGUUGCGAGUCGGUGACGGCAAGCUAAUCUCUUAAAGCCAAUCUCAGUUCGGAUUGUAGGCUGCAACUCGCCUACAUGAAGUCGGAAUCGCUAGUAAUCGCGGAUCAGCACGCCGCGGUGAAUACGUUCCCGGGCCUUGUACACACCGCCCGUCACACCACGAGAGUUUGUAACACCCGAAGUCGGUGAGGUAACCUUUUGGAGCCAGCCGCCUAAGGGUGGAAAAAAAGG
This 1455-nucleotide ribosomal RNA is filed under the name Streptococcus salivarius. RNAcentral describes it as "bacterial SSU rRNA". It matches the Rfam family "Bacterial small subunit ribosomal RNA". The record is from RNAcentral. Lineage: Bacteria; Bacillati; Bacillota; Bacilli; Lactobacillales; Streptococcaceae.